CCUACGGGCGGCAGCAGUGGGGAAUAUUGGACAAUGGGCGAAAGCCUGAUCCAGCCAUGCCGCGUGUGUGAAGAAGGCCUUCGGGUUGUAAAGCACUUUCAGUGGGGAAGAAAGCCUUGGGGCUAAUACCCUCGAGGAAGGACAUCACCCACAGAAGAAGCACCGGCUAACUCCGUGCCAGCAGCCGCGGUAAUACGGAGGGUGCGAGCGUUAAUCGGAAUUACUGGGCGUAAAGCGCGCGUAGGCGGUCUGAUAAGCCGGUUGUGAAAGCCCCGGGCUCAACCUGGGAACGGCAUCCGGAACUGUCAGGCUAGAGUGCAGGAGAGGAAGGUAGAAUUCCCGGUGUAGCGGUGAAAUGCGUAGAGAUCGGGAGGAAUACCAGUGGCGAAGGCGGCCUUCUGGACUGACACUGACGCUGAGGUGCGAAAGCGUGGGUAGCAAACAGGAUUAGAUACCCCUGUAGUC
RNAcentral lists this ribosomal RNA (465 nucleotides) under Vreelandella stevensii. RNAcentral's name for it is "partial 16S ribosomal RNA". It matches the Rfam family "Bacterial small subunit ribosomal RNA", at positions 338 to 795 of the family's 1533-position model. Lineage: Bacteria; Pseudomonadati; Pseudomonadota; Gammaproteobacteria; Oceanospirillales; Halomonadaceae. The record is from RNAcentral.